CAGAUUUUCAGAGAAUUGGUGACCCAUUUCUUAGACCCGCGACGAAGACCCGACAAUAUCUCCUCCGUCCGGCCAUUUAUAGACGGCGAACCACUGGCGCUAGGAUCGUCUCGACGUCUCGACGUCGCGACUUCUCAAAUUUGAAAACUGUAGAAAGCUGGAGGUUGGAAUAGCCAAGGUCGUGCACAUGAGGAAAAUCUCCCUCUGAUAACUAGACAAGGACUCCAGUUACCCAAAACAUGAAACGUGGUGGUGUUGGCCUAGGAAAGCAAAUGGAGUCAAAGCUGCAAUAUUCUAGUUGUGGAUGCAGGUACUGUGUACGGAGACGGGACAGCUGGACGAACGUUGAGCGUGGCUUGGUCACUUAAUUCCUUAAAUUGUGUCAUUGUCGGAGUUUGUUCCGUGUGACAGGUUCCCGAUUUUCCCUAGUUUUGCAUAACUCAUUUGAAGAGUUCUGAAUUGUGCGUAAAUUGUAUCUCUUCUGAAAUCUUGGACUUUCGACUAUGAACCGGACAAAUAUUCGUGUAUUGUUGUUUCCGGUUUUGAAUGAUUGGUGCUCGUUUUAUUAGAACUUUUAACAUUUUAACCUCA
Long non-coding RNA from Rosa rugosa (rugosa rose), 591 nucleotides. RefSeq lists it as uncharacterized. The transcript has 4 exons. The record is from RefSeq and is a predicted model, not a curated record. NCBI's taxonomy places the organism in Eukaryota, Viridiplantae, Streptophyta, Magnoliopsida, Rosales, Rosaceae.